Molecule: non-coding RNA, 24 nt
Filed under: Cricetulus griseus (Chinese hamster)
Lineage: Eukaryota; Metazoa; Chordata; Mammalia; Rodentia; Cricetidae
Also listed under: 1 other name
Source: RNAcentral
UAGGAGUUGGAAUAGGAGCUUGCU